UAUUAUACUUUUUUUUUUUACCCGAUGUCUCUCUCUGCAACAAAGAUAAGGGAUUCAUUAACAGUACUCUUCUCAAAUCUCUGCACAUUUUCUCUUAUUCUCUUCUACAUUAUUCUUUUUGAAUCAGUGUUUUACAUCAUAUCAGUUGUGGACAAGUUAUGGCGACAUCCUAAGCGUACAAACAAAACGAUAGAAGAGCAUAUUCCGGCGGCUCAAUAUAGAGCCGAAAUUAAUUCAGAACCGGUUGAGUGUUCUGUUUGUUUAUCAAAAUUUGAGGAAGGAGUGGUGAUUAGAGAAUUGCAAUGUAGCCAUUUUUUUCACAAGGAUUGUGUUGAUAAAUGGCUUCAACAAGAGUCCCCGACAUGUCCUAUGUGUAGGAAAACCGUGAAAAUCGUCGUCAAUCAUGGUGAAUUUCUAAACCAUCAAGAGUUCGACGGCGCCAAUGAGUUGUUGUUUCCCAUGUUGUGCGGAAUGCAUGGUAGGGCUGCACAUGGUUCGGUUUUCAUCGGUUUUUUGAAAAAAUUAAACCGAAACCGAACUACUCGGUUUCCAAUAAUGAAAACCAAUGAAACCAUUUGGGUAGUUCGGUUUUUCUCGGUUCGGUUCCAACUCGGUUUUGUAUAAAACCAUUCGGUUUUUGGUUAACCACUGAAAUUUUUUAUAUCUGUCAGUCUCACAAAAAUGACAGGCAAAUUUUUCUGAACCUGUCACUCAAGUUUCAAAUACAUCAAAUGUUCCAACUUCCAAUACAUAUUGAUAGAAACAUUAAAUUUUAAAGA
Molecule: long non-coding RNA, 779 nt
Organism: Papaver somniferum (opium poppy)
Lineage: Eukaryota; Viridiplantae; Streptophyta; Magnoliopsida; Ranunculales; Papaveraceae
Exons: 2
Source: RefSeq, a predicted model, not a curated record